GACGAACGCUGGCGGCGUGCCUAAUACAUGCAAGUAGAACGCUGAAGGAGGAGCUUGCUUCUCCGGAUGAGUUGCGAACGGGUGAGUAACGCGUAGGUAACCUGCCUGGUAGCGGGGCUUAACUAUUGGAAACGAUAGCUAAUACCGCAUAACAGUAGAUAUUGCAUGAUAUCUGCUUGAAAGGUGCAAUUGCAUCACUACCAGAUGGACCUGCGUUGUAUUAGCUAGUUGGUGGGGUAACGGCUCACCAAGGCGACGAUACAUAGCCGACCUGAGAGGGUGAUCGGCCACACUGGGACUGAGACACGGCCCAGACUCCUACGGGAGGCAGCAGUAGGGAAUCUUCGGCAAUGGACGGAAGUCUGACCGAGCAACGCCGCGUGAGUGAAGAAGGUUUUGUGGAUCGUA
RNAcentral lists this ribosomal RNA (408 nucleotides) under Streptococcus sp. oral taxon 431. RNAcentral describes it as "bacterial SSU rRNA". It matches the Rfam family "Bacterial small subunit ribosomal RNA", at positions 28 to 427 of the family's 1533-position model. The record is from RNAcentral. Lineage: Bacteria; Bacillati; Bacillota; Bacilli; Lactobacillales; Streptococcaceae.